GCUAAAAAGACCACAGGUUCAUCUGUUUCCAGACAAAUGCCCCCGCAGCAGAAACAGAGACGCAAUUCUGUUACUCAGCAAAGACAGAAUUCAGAAUCUGUCUCUUCACGAGUAACACAAACUGAGGAAAGG
Astyanax mexicanus (Mexican tetra) is the source of this 132-nucleotide long non-coding RNA. RefSeq lists it as uncharacterized. NCBI's taxonomy places the organism in Eukaryota, Metazoa, Chordata, Actinopteri, Characiformes, Acestrorhamphidae. The transcript is spliced from 2 exons. The record is from RefSeq and is a predicted model, not a curated record.